CCAGGACAUGGCCACCUGAUGCAGCCAUGCCGCGUGUGUGAGAAGGCCUUCGGGUUGUAAAGCACUUUCAGUAGGGAGGAAGGUAGUGUAGUUAACACCUGCAUUAUUUGACGUUACCUACAGAAGAAGCACCGGCUAACUCCGUGCCAGCAGCCGCGGUAAU
This 163-nucleotide ribosomal RNA is filed under the name uncultured Photobacterium sp. RNAcentral describes it as "partial 16S ribosomal RNA". It matches the Rfam family "Bacterial small subunit ribosomal RNA", at positions 366 to 524 of the family's 1533-position model. The record is from RNAcentral. Lineage: Bacteria; Pseudomonadati; Pseudomonadota; Gammaproteobacteria; Vibrionales; Vibrionaceae.